This 253-nucleotide ribosomal RNA is filed under the name uncultured bacterium. RNAcentral describes it as "partial 16S ribosomal RNA". It matches the Rfam family "Bacterial small subunit ribosomal RNA", at positions 524 to 776 of the family's 1533-position model. The record is from RNAcentral.
UACGUAGGGUGCGAGCGUUGUCCGGAAUUAUUGGGCGUAAAGAGCUUGUAGGCGGUUUGUCGCGUCUGCUGUGAAAAUCCGGGGCUCAACCCCGGACUUGCAGUGGGUACGGGCAGACUAGAGUGUGGUAGGGGAGACUGGAAUUCCUGGUGUAGCGGUGAAAUGCGCAGAUAUCAGGAGGAACACCGAUGGCGAAGGCAGGUCUCUGGGCCACUACUGACGCUGAGGUGCGAAAGCGUGGGGAGCAAACAGG